ACUAAAUCAAAAAUCAAAAGUACAUCAGAAUCAAAUUUCAUUGCAAUCUCAUCAUCCCUUCUCGGAUUGACCAAAAUUCCAACAAUUCCGUGAUCCAUGGAGAGAAAUUCAGUAACAAACCAAAGGAAGAAAAACCCUAAUCUUGAAGGGGGGAAGUACCUGUUGAAGGGCUCCAAGCUCAUGGUGGAAGAGAGACGAGGGUGGGAUUAUCUGCAGCUCCUGUGAGGAUUAGAUCGUGGAGAUUUAGGGCCUGGAAGGCGAUGAUUUAUAGCCGUUGAGAGUACAAAAACUUGGAGGCGGGCAUCGAGCGAGAGAGAGGGCGCAGAGGCGACGUAGGAUGAGCGCUACUUUAUAUAGUUAGUAAGCUUUUUAGGUCGAACGCCAAGACUUCCA
Molecule: long non-coding RNA, 393 nt
Filed under: Phoenix dactylifera (date palm)
Lineage: Eukaryota; Viridiplantae; Streptophyta; Magnoliopsida; Arecales; Arecaceae
Description: long non-coding RNA (PDAC_LNC017754)
Source: RNAcentral